GACGAACGCUGGCGGCGCGCCUAACACAUGCAAGUCGAGCGAUGAAAUUUUAACCGCUCUCUUCGGAGAGAUGAUAAAAUGGAUUAGCGGCGGACGGGUGAGUAACACGUGAGAAACCUGCCUUUCACAAGGGGAUAGCCUCGGGAAACCGGGAUUAAUACCCUAUGACACAUUUCCUUCGCAUGGAAGAAAUGUUAAAACUCCGGUGGUGAAAGAUGGUCUCGCGCCUGAUUAGCUAGUUGGUGGGGUAACGGCCCACCAAGGCCAUGAUCAGUAACCGGCCUGAGAGGGUGAACGGUCACAUUGGAACUGAGACACAGUCCAGACUCCUACGGGAGGCAGCAGUGGGGAAUAUUGCACAAUGGAGGAAACUCUGAUGCAGCGACGACGCGUGAGCGAUGAAGGCUUUCGAGUCGUAAAGCUCUGUCCUAUGGGAAGAUAAUGACGGUACCAUAGGAGAAAGCCCCGGCUAACUACGUG
Molecule: ribosomal RNA, 480 nt
Filed under: uncultured bacterium
Lineage: Bacteria
Description: partial 16S ribosomal RNA
Rfam family: Bacterial small subunit ribosomal RNA
Source: RNAcentral